AACGCACAUUGCGCCCCUUGGUAUUCCAUUGGGCAUGCCUGUUCGAGCGUCAUUUACACCCUCAAGCUCCGCUUGGUGUUGGGCGUCUGUCCUUGCUACACGCGAAGACUCGCCUUAAAUUCAUUGGCAGUGGCACCGUCGGCUUCUUGCGCAGCACAUUGCGCUAUAGAAGGCUACCGGCAGUCCAGCUACCAUUAAGAAACUACCCAGUUUGACCUCGAAUCAGGUAGGGAUACCCGCUGAACUUAA
RNAcentral lists this unclassified non-coding RNA (249 nucleotides) under uncultured fungus. Its description in RNAcentral is "partial contains 5.8S ribosomal RNA, internal transcribed spacer 2, and large subunit ribosomal RNA". The record is from RNAcentral. Lineage: Eukaryota; Fungi.